AGAGUUUGAUCCUGGCUCAGGAUGAACGCUGGCGGCAUGCCUAAUACAUGCAAGUCGAACGAGAGGAAGGAAAGCUUGCUUUUCUGAAUCUAGUGGCGAACGGGUGAGUAACACGUAGGUAACCUGCCCAUGUGCCCGGGAUAACUUCUGGAAACGGAUGCUAAAACCGGAUAGGUAGCAGACAAGCAUUUGACUGCUAUUAAAGUGGCUUUGGCCAUGAACAUGGAUGGACCUGCGGUGCAUUAGCUGGUUGGUGAGGUAACGGCCCACCAAGGCGACGAUGCAUAGCCGGCCUGAGAGGGCGGACGGCCACAUUGGGACUGAGACACGGCCCAAACUCCUACGGGAGGCAGCAGUGGGGAAUUUUCGUCAAUGGGGGGAACCCUGAACGAGCAAUGCCGCGUGAGUGAGGAAGGUCUUCGGAUCGUAAAGCUCUGUUGUAAGAGAAAAACGGCACUCAUAGGGAAUGAUGAGUGAGUGAUGGUAUCUUACCAGAAAGUCACGGCUAACUACGUGCCAGCAGCCGCGGUAAUACGUAGGUGGCGAGCGUUAUCCGGAAUGAUUGGGCGUAAAGGGUGCGUAGGUGGCAGAUCAAGUCUGGAGUAAAAGGUAUGGGCUCAACCCGUACUGGCUCUGGAAACUGAUCAGCUAGAGAACAGAAGAGGACGGCGGAACUCCAUGUGUAGCGGUAAAAUGCGUAGAUAUAUGGAAGAACACCGGUGGCGAAGGCGGCCGUCUGGUCUGGAUUCUGACACUGAAGCACGAAAGCGUGGGGAGCAAAUAGGAUUAGAUACCCUAGUAGUCCACGCCGUAAACGAUGAGAACUAGGUGUUGGGGGAAUAACUCAGUGCCGCAGUUAACGCAGUAAGUUCUCCGCCUGGGGAGUAUGCACGCAAGUGUGAAACUCAAAGGAAUUGACGGGGGCCCGCACAAGCGGUGGAGUAUGUGGUUUAAUUCGAAGCAACGCGAAGAACCUUACCAGGCCUUGACAUCCCUUGCAGAGGUAUAGAGAUAUAUCCGAGGUUAUCAAGGAGACAGGUGGUGCAUGGUUGUCGUCAGCUCGUGUCGUG
RNAcentral lists this ribosomal RNA (1070 nucleotides) under human gut metagenome. Its description in RNAcentral is "bacterial SSU rRNA". It matches the Rfam family "Bacterial small subunit ribosomal RNA", at positions 8 to 1069 of the family's 1533-position model. The record is from RNAcentral.